CAGAUUGAACGCUGGCGGUAUGCUUAACACAUGCAAGUCGAACGGUAACAGGCCUUCGGGCGCUGACGAGUGGCGGACGGGUGAGUAACGCGUAGGAAUCUGCCUGAUAGUGGGGGACAACGUGGGGAAACCCACGCUAAUACCGCAUACGCCCUACGGGGGAAAGGAGGGGAUCUUCGGACCUUUCGCUAUGAGAUGAGCCUGCGUUAGAUUAGCUAGUUGGUAGGGUAAAGGCCUACCAAGGCGACGAUCUAUAGCUGGUCUGAGAGGACGAUCAGCCACACUGGGACUGAGACACGGCCCAGACUCCUACGGGAGGCAGCAGUGGGGAAUAUUGGACAAUGGGCGCAAGCCUGAUCCAGCAAUACCGCGUGUGUGAAGAAGGCCUUCGGGUUGUAAAGCACUUUCAAUUGGGAGGAAAACCUGCCGGUCAAUACCCGGUAGCUUGACAUUACCUUUAGAAGAAGCACCGGCUAACUCCGUGCCAGCAGCCGCGGUAAUACGGAGGGUGCGAGCGUUAAUCGGAAUUACUGGGCGUAAAGCGUGCGUAGGCGGUUCGUUAAGUCAGAUGUGAAAGCCCCGGGCUUAACCUGGGAACUGCAUUUGAAACUGGCGAACUAGAGUUGAGUAGAGGGGAGUGGAAUUUCAGGUGUAGCGGUGAAAUGCGUAGAUAUCUGAAGGAACACCAGUGGCGAAGGCGACUCCCUGGACUCAACUCGACGUUGGGAUAGCAAAGCGCGGGUAGCAAACGAGGGCUAGAACCUCAGCAAGC
Molecule: ribosomal RNA, 772 nt
Filed under: uncultured bacterium
Lineage: Bacteria
Description: bacterial SSU rRNA
Rfam family: Bacterial small subunit ribosomal RNA
Source: RNAcentral